CAGAUAUAGACGACUGCAAUGGCGUUACCUGUCAAAACGGUGGAAACUGCGUUGAUGGCAUUGACUCAUACACCUGCGACUGUGCUGUUGGCUUUGAAGGCACUCACUGUGAAACAAACAUAGACGACUGCAACGGUGUUACCUGUCAAAACGGUGGAAACUGCGUUGAUGGCAUCAACUCAUACACCUGCGACUGUGCUGUUGGCUUUGAAGGCACUCACUGUGAAACAAACAUAGACGACUGCAACGGUGUUACCUGUCAGAACGGUGGAAACUGCGUUGAUGGCAUCGACUCAUACACCUGCGAUUGUGCUGUUGGCUUUGAAGGCACUCACUGUGAAACAAACAUAGACGACUGCAAUGGUGUUACCUGUGAAAACGGUGGAAACUGCGUUGAUGGCAUUGACUCAUACACCUGCGACUGUGCUGUUGGCUUUGAAGGCACUCACUGUGAAACAA
Long non-coding RNA from Branchiostoma floridae (Florida lancelet), 459 nucleotides. RefSeq lists it as uncharacterized. NCBI's taxonomy places the organism in Eukaryota, Metazoa, Chordata, Leptocardii, Amphioxiformes, Branchiostomatidae. The transcript is spliced from 4 exons. The record is from RefSeq and is a predicted model, not a curated record.